GAUGAACGCUGGCGGCGUGCCUAAUACAUGCAAGUCGAGCGAACAGACGAGGAGCUUGCUCCUCUGACGUUAGCGGCGGACGGGUGAGUAACACGUGGAUAACCUACCUAUAAGACUGGGAUAACUUCGGGAAACCGGAGCUAAUACCGGAUAAUAUAUUGAACCGCAUGGUUCAAUAGUGAAAGACGGUUUUGCUGUCACUUAUAGAUGGAUCCGCGCCGCAUUAGCUAGUUGGUAAGGUAACGGCUUACCAAGGCAACGAUGCGUAGCCGACCUGAGAGGGGGAGCGGCCACACGGGAACUGAGACCCGGUCCAGACCCCCCCGGGGGGCAGCAGGAGGGAAUCUUCCGCAAUGGGCGAAAGCCGGACGGGGCAACGCCGCGGGAGUAAAAAAGGUCUUCGGAUCUUAAAACUUUUUUAUUAGGGAAAAAAAAAUGUGUAAGUAACUAUGCACGUCUUGACGGUCCCUAAUCAGAAAGCCCCGGCUAACUAGGU
Molecule: ribosomal RNA, 496 nt
Filed under: uncultured bacterium
Lineage: Bacteria
Description: partial 16S ribosomal RNA
Rfam family: Bacterial small subunit ribosomal RNA
Source: RNAcentral